This 352-nucleotide RNase P RNA is filed under the name Spirochaetia bacterium. Its description in RNAcentral is "RNase P RNA component class A". It matches the Rfam family "Bacterial RNase P class A". From Rfam's summary of the family: Ribonuclease P (RNase P) is a ubiquitous endoribonuclease, found in archaea, bacteria and eukarya as well as chloroplasts and mitochondria. Its best characterised activity is the generation of mature 5'-ends of tRNAs by cleaving the 5'-leader elements of precursor-tRNAs. Lineage: Bacteria; Pseudomonadati; Spirochaetota; Spirochaetia. The record is from RNAcentral.
UCGGCAGGUCUUGUUACCGCCUGCGCCUUAUAAGUGCAGGAGGAAAGUCCGGGCUCCAUAGAGCAUGAUGCCAGCUAACGGCUGGAAGCGCAGUUUUUCUGCGCUAUAGAAAGUGCCACAGAAAAUAGACUGCCUGUCUGGUCUCCAGGCAGGUGAUGGUGAAAAGGCGGGGUAAGAGCCCACCGGGCAUCUGGCAACAGGUGCCGCAUGGCAAACCUCAUCAGGAGCAAAGCCAAAGAGCAGAGAGUGGCUCGCUCUUAUCUGCGGGUAGGCUGCUAUAGAAAUCUGGCGACAGGUUUCAUAGACAGAUGGUGACACACGACAGAACUCGGCUUAUAGACCUGCUUUUUUA